GAUGGACUUGGUCAUCCAACCUAAUAGUGUUGCCGCUGUGAUUGUUAGCCAAUCGCUCGAGGGCACCCUCUUGCUUGUUGCUGCUGAGGUACGCCCCCUUUCAGGCUGCCGAGCGCAAACUGGUCUCUCAGGAAAUAAGGAGUUCCUGUUAUUGCAAAGUGGGUUGUUGGCUUCAGGCUGUCUCAUUCUCCCGGUGCUGCAGCGGACAGUUUCGCCAUUGGAGUGUGUGGUGCCUGAUGUUCCCCUUUUUCUACACGGAGACGUCAAGGACGCAGAGCUGUGGCUGGGAGUGUAAUUCAGGUGCUUCCUUCCCCUCUCCUCCAUCGGCGUCCAUGUUCACGACGCCACGUGCAUGGUAACGACCGGCUUGUGCUUGGUUUGUGUUUUUAAUACUUAUCGUGUUGGCUGGGCUUCGCUGUUUUUGACUUUUUUUUUACUGUUUUGGCCUCUGGUGGCCAAGUUUACCCCGGAAGGAUUGUAUGAGUGUGUGUGCGCGCGCAGGGUCGCGCUGUUUUAGUUGCCAUUGUUUGUUUUCGUUGUAGUUGUUAAAUCUAAAUUGUAGUUAUUAAAUCUAUAUAUUUGUUUUGAUUCCAUCAUUUUGCUUUUAUUAUGGAGUUGAUGUCAGUGUGGACUUUAUUUUUAAUUAAAUAUAUUAAUCCCU
Molecule: long non-coding RNA, 661 nt
Organism: Dunckerocampus dactyliophorus (ringed pipefish)
Lineage: Eukaryota; Metazoa; Chordata; Actinopteri; Syngnathiformes; Syngnathidae
Exons: 3
Source: RefSeq, a predicted model, not a curated record